CCCGGUGGCAAUGGCGAAGGGGCCACACCCGUUCCCAUCUCGAACACGGAAGUUAAGCCCUUCUGCGCCGAUGGUACUGCCUGGGCAGCUGGGUGGGAGAGUAGGACGCCGCCGGGA
Molecule: ribosomal RNA, 117 nt
Filed under: Deltaproteobacteria bacterium RBG_13_43_22
Lineage: Bacteria; Deltaproteobacteria
Also listed under: 1 other name
Source: RNAcentral